GAUGAACGCUAGCGGAAGGCUUAAUACAUGCAAGUCGAGCGGUAGUCCCCUUCGGGGGAGUGAGAGCGGCGCACGGGUGAGUAACGCGUACAUGACCUGCCUGUCAGAAGGGGAUAGCCCUGGGAAACUGGGAUUAAUACCCUAUGGUAUUGAUAUUAUGAAUGAUAUCAAUUAAAGUUGAGGCGCUGACAGAUGGAUGUGCGUCUGAUUAGCUAGUUGGUAGGGUAACGGCCUACCAAGGCGACGAUCAGUAGGGGGCGUGAGAGCGUGGUCCCCCACACGGGUACUGAGACACGGACCCGACUCCUACGGGAGGCAGCAGUAAGGAAUAUUGGUCAAUGCCCGCAAGGGUGAACCAGCCAUUCCGCGUGGAGGAUGAAGGCCCUAUGGGUUGUAAACUUCUUUUUAGUAUGGGAAGAAAAUAGCUAGAUGUAUCUGGUAC
Molecule: ribosomal RNA, 442 nt
Filed under: uncultured bacterium
Lineage: Bacteria
Description: bacterial SSU rRNA
Rfam family: Bacterial small subunit ribosomal RNA
Source: RNAcentral